This 492-nucleotide ribosomal RNA is filed under the name uncultured bacterium. Its description in RNAcentral is "partial 16S ribosomal RNA". It matches the Rfam family "Bacterial small subunit ribosomal RNA", at positions 29 to 507 of the family's 1533-position model. The record is from RNAcentral.
AGUGAACGCUGGCGGUAGGCCUAACACAUGCAAGUCGAACGGCAGCACAGUAAGAGCUUGCUCUUACGGGUGGCGAGUGGCGGACGGGUGAGGUAUACAUCGGAAUCUACUUUUUCGUGGGGGAUAACGUAGGGAAACUUACGCUAAUACCGCAUACGACCUACGGGUGAAAGCAGGGGAUCUUCGGACCUUGCGCGAUUGACUGAGCCGAUGUCGGAUUAGCUAGUUGGCGGGGUAAAGGCCCACCAAGGCGACGAUCCGUAGCUGGUCUGAGAGGAUGAUCAGCCACACUGGAACUGAGACACGGUCCAGACUCCUACGGGAGGCAGCAGUGGGGAAUAUUGGACAAUGGGCGCAAGCCUGAUCCAGCCAUACCGCGUGGGUGAAGAAGGCCUUCGGGUUGUAAAGCCCUUUUGUUGGGAAAGAAAAGCAGCAGGUUAAUACCCCGCUGUUCUGACGGUACCCAAAGAAUAAGCACCGGCUAACUUCGUG